This 63-nucleotide transfer RNA is filed under the name Salpa thompsoni. RNAcentral describes it as "tRNA-Ser1". Lineage: Eukaryota; Metazoa; Chordata; Thaliacea; Salpida; Salpidae. The record is from RNAcentral.
AGCUAAUACGUUAGUAAAGGUAAACCUGCUAAGUUUACUAAUGGCAUAGGAGCCAAUUAGCUG